AUUGAACGCUGGCGGCAGGCUUAACACAUGCAAGUCGAGCGAGUGGCGGACGGGUGAGUAAUGUCUGGGAAACUGCCUGAUGGAGGGGGAUAACUACUGGAAACGGUAGCUAAUACCGCAUACCAUCAGAUGUGCCCAGAUGGGAUUAGCUAGUAGGGGGGGUAAUGGCUCACCUAGGCGACGAUCCCUAGCUGGUCUGAGAGGAUGACCAGCCACACUGAGACUGAGACACGGUCCAGACUCCGACGGGAGGCAGCAGUGGGGAAUAUUGCACAAUGGGCGCAAGCCUGAUGCAGCCAUGCCGCGUGUGUGAAGAAGGCCUUCGGGUUGUAAAGUUCUUUCGGUGGCGAGGCGUUAACUACAGAAGAAGCACCGGCUAACUCCGUGCCAGCCGCCGCGGUAAUAC
RNAcentral lists this ribosomal RNA (406 nucleotides) under uncultured bacterium. Its description in RNAcentral is "partial 16S ribosomal RNA". It matches the Rfam family "Bacterial small subunit ribosomal RNA", at positions 30 to 526 of the family's 1533-position model. The record is from RNAcentral.